This 1373-nucleotide long non-coding RNA is filed under the name Rosa chinensis. Its description in RNAcentral is "sRNA RchiOBHm_Chr3g0490711". The record is from RNAcentral. Lineage: Eukaryota; Viridiplantae; Streptophyta; Magnoliopsida; Rosales; Rosaceae.
GCACGUGGUGCUUGAAUAGUAAGGAAGAGAUUAUAAAUUGAAGGGAAACUUAGCUUGCCCAGGUUCUUCGCACCCAGCCCAGAUGGUGCUGAUGCUUGAAUGUUCAGUGCCUGCUGCCAUAAUCAUUGUUCAGCGGGCGUUUUGCCAGCGGAGCUAGUGGGUGUAAGAGUAGGGCUGCAGGGGAGAGCCUGAGGCUGUGGUCAGCGGAGAAGCGCGGCUGCAAUGCUCUGCAUAGAUGCCGGCGGUGUUUUCGAGCUCAGCGGAGCGACGGUUGGCGGUGCUGAGGUGAUGGCCUCGUUGAACAUUAGCUGAGCGGAUGUGGGUUUCCGCUGAUGGAGAUCAGCGGAGGAAGUACCGCUGACGGAGAGUUGAGCUGGCAGCGGUGCCUAGCUACUGUGGAGCUUUGCUGGCGGAGGUGAUGACUAGUGGAAGUCGACUUGCGAGUGUAGUCCGGCUAGCGGAGGUCAUGAGGUCAGCGGAACCCUUCUUGGGAGGAUGGUGCCUAGCGCUUAGUAUUGACGGAGGAAUUUACCACGCUGCCGCCGACAUAGCUCCGCGGAGGAGUUGUUCAGCGAAACCUGCCGGGGGAGGCCUGGGACACCAGCGGAGUUUACUGAUGCUCCGUCAAGGCUGUGAGCAUCUUGAGCUAGCGGUGCUGUUUUCCCGCUGAUAGUGUUGGGCAGAAGAUGUCGGUGCUGCCGCUGGCGGAGGUACUCCCAAGCUCCAAAAGAGGAUAACCGGCGGUGAUGAUGGGCAGCGGAAGUGCUCGGUUGCCGCUGGGGAUGGCAGGCGGAGCUGGUCAGCGGAGCGGGUCAGCGGAGCUGUGGGACAGCCGUGGAGUAUGGGUAGCGGCACAGUCGCGCUGAAGGGCUCGCCGACGGAAGAUGCUCGGCUGGCCGCUGAGCGCUAGUGGGUCUUGAGAGCUGUUGCUGUCGGUUCUGCUAGUGGUGUUUAGCGGAGCGGGUCAGCGGAGUAAUCGACAGAGCUGGGCGGAGCGGAGUCGCUGGCUGGUGGUGGCAAUGAAGCCUGCUGCUCACUUGGAGCUUGGACUGAGCUAAGCGGAGGCUCGGUGCCGGCGGAGUGUCGUGAAGGUGGCAGCGAGCUGUGAUCGCCGUAGGAGGUAGCGGUAUACAGUUCAGCGGGGAACUGAUGACUGAAGAAUGCCAAAGGGUGUCCAGAGCAAAUCUCUGGGUGGCCAGAGCAAUUUGACACCUUAAUUUUUGUUUUUUUUGUUUUUUUUUUUUGUGAUGGCCAGCGGUGACUUUCGUUGUUGGCGUUGACUAUUUGUUGACCACGUUUGUUCGGCGUUGACCGAACUUGAUCAGCCCUAAGGGCGUUGACCGGCUCAAGUUAUGAGUGGGUGUAGCGUUGAC